RNAcentral lists this unclassified non-coding RNA (343 nucleotides) under soil metagenome. RNAcentral describes it as "partial contains 5.8S ribosomal RNA, internal transcribed spacer 2, and large subunit ribosomal RNA". The stretch from base 1 to 120 matches the Rfam family "5.8S ribosomal RNA", at positions 35 to 154 of the family's 154-position model. The record is from RNAcentral.
GAUGAAGAACGUAGCGAAAUGCGAUAAGUAAUGUGAAUUGCAGAAUUCAGUGAAUCAUCGAAUCUUUGAACGCACAUUGCGACCGCUAGCAUUCUGGCGGGCAUGCCUGUUCGAGCGUCAUUUCAACCCUCGAGCCCCCCCGGGGGCCUCGGUGUUGGGGGACGGCACACCAGCCGCCCCCGAAAUGCAGUGGCGACCCCGCCGCAGCCUCCCCUGCGUAGUAGCACACACCUCGCACCGGAGCGCGGAGGCGGUCACGCCGUAAAACGCCCAACUUUCUUAGAGUUGACCUCGGAUCAGGUAGGAAUACCCGCUGAACUUAAGCAUAUCAAUAAGCGGAGGA